This 490-nucleotide ribosomal RNA is filed under the name uncultured bacterium. RNAcentral's name for it is "partial 16S ribosomal RNA". It matches the Rfam family "Bacterial small subunit ribosomal RNA", at positions 30 to 507 of the family's 1533-position model. The record is from RNAcentral.
AUUGAACGCUGGCGGCAGGCCUAACACAUGCAAGUCGAACGGUAACAGGAAGAAGCUUGCUUCUUUGCUGACGAGUGGCGGACGGGUGAGUAAUGUCUGGGAAACUGCCUGAUGGAGGGGGAUAACUACUGGAAACGGUAGCUAAUACCGCAUAACGUCGCAAGACCAAGGAGGGGGACCUUCGGGCCUCUUGCCAUCGGAUGUGCCCAGAUGGGAUUAGCUAGUAGGUGGGGUAACGGCUCACCUAGGCGACGAUCCCUAGCUGGUCUGAGAGGAUGACCAGCCACACUGGAACUGAGACACGGUCCAGACUCCUACGGGAGGCAGCAGUGGGGAAUAUUGGACAAUGGGCGCAAGCCUGAUGCAGCCAUGCCGCGUGUAUGAAGAAGGCCUUCGGGUUGUAAAGUACUUUUGGCGGGGAGGAAGAGAGGAAAGUUAAUACCUUGGCGCAUUGACGGUACCCGAAGAAUAAGCACCGGCUAACUUCGUG